RNAcentral lists this long non-coding RNA (2454 nucleotides) under Homo sapiens (human). RNAcentral describes it as "HSALNT0296020". The record is from RNAcentral. Lineage: Eukaryota; Metazoa; Chordata; Mammalia; Primates; Hominidae.
UGAGAAAGGAGGAGAGAGGAAAGGUGUCUGCAGCACAACAGCCAACACUUCUGGAGCACAUGGCCCUGCAGUGAAGGAUUCUGGAGCUCACAUUUGUCUGAAGGGGAUCCGAGGAGGUUCUGUGUUGUUGAAUGUGAUUGAGAAGCUCAGAGUAGAUGUAGACGCCGAGCUGGAGGAGAGCCUGUGCCUCAUCCUGAGAUCCUGGCCAAGUCACUGUCUAUCAUACCAGGCUUGUGUAACAUCACCCUGGAUUGUAGGGCUCCAGGAGCCACAGAGGACCUGAAUGUGACUUGGGAGAGCAAGGACCUCCUCAGAGAGCUGGAGCACAGAGAAACACGAGGACCAGCCCCUAACCCCUGGAUCCUGGCUGUGGACCUGCCCCUGAGCCAGCGGAACAGCAAUCUCACCUGUGUGGUCAGCAACUAGGUAGAUCAGAAAGAUGUAACCUUACCUUGGGGAAGCCUGUGUCAAGGUGAGUGGUGAGUGUAGCCUGCAAGAUAGGAGGGGCUUCCUGAGCUCAGGCAGUACUGGGGUUUAAUGGUUCUGGGCUCUAUUCUCCACCAUGUGCAUUAGCACCACCUUCCACCUGCUCACCACACACAGCAGUGUGGGAGUCACAUCCACCUUGCUUCUGCCCUUAACCAUCUCUCCCACCGAUGCCCUCCUCCCCACAACCCCACCAUGUCCUUAUUGGUAAAGGCAGCAGCCUUCCGGGAGCUCUCCCACUCCAUCCAUCCUCCACUGGGCAUCCAGAGUGGGCUUUGAGAAAAGCAGGACAGCUUGUGCCAUUGUCUGUGUCAUCUGUGGGAACCUGAUUCCAGCCACUCUCCGUAUGAUUCAGAGCUUAGAUGCACCUCUGUCCACGUUGCUAGCCUCAUCUGCUCUCUUCACACCAAACUGCUUGCUAUAGUUCUCUGAAUGUAUCCUGCCAUUGCAAGCUUCUGGGCUUCUGCACAUGCUGGAUUUUCUGUAUCAGCCAUCCCAAGUCCUGUGUCCUUCACUUCUGCUUCAUGGGGUGAAGACCAUGUAAAGGCCCCAUGUUUGGUUUAAAGUUCUGUUAAUAAGUUUGAACAAGGGCUUCCUAUUUUCAUUCUGCAUAGGGCCUUUUCAGUUAUGUAUCCAGUCCUGAACUUAGGCAGCAAUCCUUUAGGGAGCGUCCAUGGCACCCCACACAGAGUAGUAGUGGUGGGGUUAUGUCUUUGCUCUGUAGAUGGCAAUGCCCUCAGGCAGAGGCCACCAUCAUGUUCUCCUUUGAAUCCCUGUGCCAAGUACAGCUUCUGGCAAAGUUUGCUCACAAUCAGUGUUCAUUGGAUGAAUGAAUGACUUGGUACCCUGGUGCAGUCACAUCUUCUCUAACCUUUCCUCCAGGAGCUGCCGGAGAGCUCUGAUGUGUCAGCAUCCCUUUAAACCACCCGUUACCUCCUCCCCUGUCCUCCAUCCUGGAGUGUUCAGUACUUAGCGUGACAACAAGGCCCUCUGGGCACAGACUCCUGCCCCCUCUGACUCUCCUUGCCAUGGUUCCUCCCUGCCCUGUUCCUCUCCUGCUGCAAUGGGGUGCUGGCAACUCCCAGGGCUGGUGUUUUGACACAGUAAUUUCCUAAGUGUGGUGCUCCUUCUUCCUGGAAUGCCCCACCCUGAAUAUCUGAGAAACUCUUACUCCCGCUUCAAGCCUCAGUUUAGCCAGCACCUCCUCUGGGAGGCCCUCCCUGAUGACCUUGUACAAGGUGUAAACCUCUAUUGCAGCUGCGAUCCCUCUGUCUGGCAGUUGGUAUUUUCUGUCUUCCCUCCUGUGUGCUGGGCUGCUGUGGACAUCGUCUUGUGCAUCUCAGCAUUCCUGGCACCAAGCAACAGCUCUUAACCAGUUGAAUGAAUGGACUUGUCAUGCUCCUCCCUCUGCAGCUUCUGCACCAGGCUCCUUCCCACUGCUCCACCUGCUUUCUCCCUCUGUCUCCUCUUGGCAAUGGUUAUGUCAAGUUAUUUCCUGCCUUAGCCUUUUUCACUCUCUGUCUGGGAGAACAGGUUCAUGUAGACUGGACACGGCUCUCCUUCGCGAGAUAUUCUUGGAGUCAUUGCAUUUGUGCUGUUGAUCCUGGGAGCUGGGCUAUACCUCUGGAAGAAAUGUGGGAAGAAGAAGAAGAAGAAAGAUGAAGAGGAAGAAGAGGAAGAGGAGCAGAAGGAGGAGGAGGAGCGGGAGGAGACAGGAAUAGGCAGGUUGCAUUUCUCCAUCGAGGCCCAGAUAUCUCCCCUCCCCCACUAGAAUCUGGGUUCUCUUUCUCCUGAAAGAAUGUCAUUGUUUAGCUAUAUGAAUAACCCUAGAUAUAGCAUCGAGUUAACAUGUCCAAGAUAUUUGUUACUGGAAAAAACUGAACAGCAAUGCAUGGUAUGAUUUAAUUUUUGUAAAAGUGUAUAGAUAGGUAGAUAGAAAGAUAAGCACAGAAUAAAAUCUAUACUACA